GCAAGUCGAACGAGAUGCUUUUCUUCGGAGAAGUAUUCUAGUGGCGGACGGGUGCGUAACACGUGGGAAUCUACCUUAUAGUGGGGGAUAACUUCUGGAAACGGGAGCUAAUACCGCAUACGCCCUUCGGGGGAAAGAUUUAUCGCUAUAAGAUGAGCCCGCGGUGGAUUAGAUAGUUGGUGAGGUAAAGGCUCACCAAGUCUACGAUCUAUAGCUGGUCUGAGAGGAUGACC
This 233-nucleotide ribosomal RNA is filed under the name uncultured bacterium. RNAcentral describes it as "partial 16S ribosomal RNA". It matches the Rfam family "Bacterial small subunit ribosomal RNA", at positions 57 to 305 of the family's 1533-position model. The record is from RNAcentral.